This 99-nucleotide transfer RNA is filed under the name bacterium. RNAcentral's name for it is "tRNA-Sec". It matches the Rfam family "Selenocysteine transfer RNA". The record is from RNAcentral. RNAcentral also lists the same sequence under 2 other names.
GGAGAUGUAUGCGUCACUGGUGGGCGCCCCGGACUUCAAACCCGCGUGUGGGGCACUAAUACUGUCUCAGAUAGGUUCGAUUCCUAUACAUCUCCGCCA